This 253-nucleotide ribosomal RNA is filed under the name uncultured bacterium. RNAcentral's name for it is "partial 16S ribosomal RNA". It matches the Rfam family "Bacterial small subunit ribosomal RNA", at positions 524 to 776 of the family's 1533-position model. The record is from RNAcentral.
GACGAACCGAGCGAACGUUGUUCGGAAUAACUGGGCUUAAAGGGCGCGUAGGCGGGCCGCCAAGUUUGAGGUGAAAUCCUCCGGCUCAACCGGAGAACUGCCUCGAAUACUGGAGGCCUCGAGGCGGGUAGGGGCACGCGGAACUGUGGGUGGAGCGGUGAAAUGCGUUGAUAUCCACAGGAACUCCGGUGGCGAAGGCGGCGUGCUGGACCCGAUCUGACGCUGAGGCGCGAAAGCCAGGGGAGCAAACGGG